GCUUAACCCUAUGCGAGGAGAAAGUAAAUAGCCGCCGCCAAGUACAAGUCGUCUUCAAGGUGAAGGUACAUAUAUAUAGUGUACUGGAAAUUAAUUAAACAGUUGUGAUGGGAAAAAAUGAUGAUUCUUAUUUUAGUCUGCUACCAUAUGAAGUUGUUCUUGUGAUAUUCAAUAAAAUACUUGAUUUAAAAACCUUAUGUCUUUGCAAACCCGUUUCUACAAAAUUCAAUUUGAUAGUUAAUCAAGUCAACAACAUUCGUUUUGUUGCGUCUCGUGUAAACAGUAAAAUUUUAUUUAAUCCUAGUUUCUACGGUUUUUACGAAGAAGAAUAUUUUUGGGAAUAUCCUGAAAGGGCUUUGUUAUGCCUUAUUAUCUUGAUUCUAGUUGGGAACCUUGUCCUCCCUCCACUUUUGAAUCCGAGUCUUUCCGGUCUGCAAUUCGGUCUAUGGAUAUGUUUACUAGACUCAAGUCUCUAUAUAUCGACCUCCCGUUUACAGGCCAAGAUGGUAUUUGCACCAUCAACCGUAGUAGUAUUCCUGAUUUUUACAAGUGGAAGAUUAAGUUUGGUGAGACCCUCGAAUCGUUAGUAUUUGUGAAUAUGUAAGUAGUGGCGACGUGCAGGAAGAGGAAGAGGAAGACCAACUACGUGGCACAGUUGCUUUGGGUUAUACUCGUAAAAUUGAAUUUGCUAAUCGUCAAUGUUUGAUGGAUGCGGCUGUGAGGUUUAGGAUGUUGUUGGGUUGCACGCUUGAUUUCCCAUUGUUGGAAAAGGUAUCGAUUACAGAAUCGGGUAAUAGGGGGGGGCGUUUCUAUUAAUGAUAGAAACAAGAUCGUUGAGAUAAGGGAGUGGCUACUUUCACCCCCUGAUAGUGUGGAAUAUAAGCUGAAGACUCUUAGCAAGGAGCUUCCUACUAAAUUAAGCGUGUGUUACGUCCCUUUGUUGAAACUGCCAGUUUCAGGAUACCUGAUGAAGAGGGUGUCUCUUGUUACGAUUCAGCGGACUAUGGAGUUCCUAGAUGGAGAUGAUAGUUUUUAUAUGACUCCUAUUAAUUUGGAUGAUUUUGCAGAUAAACAAGAGGCUGCAUAUGCUGAAUCCGUGGUCGAGAUGUUGAAGAUGUGCCGUAGGGGCCUGCCGCUUCAACCAUGGUGACCUUAACAAAUUAUAACCCUCCUUCACCUUGAAGGGAACAUCAUAUUUGAACUUAUUGUACGAGUCUUUGUGUGUUGUGACCAUUGAUGAUGUGAUAUUAAUGUUUGUGAUGUUUUCCUUGCCUAA
Erigeron canadensis is the source of this 1276-nucleotide long non-coding RNA. RefSeq lists it as uncharacterized. The transcript has 2 exons. NCBI's taxonomy places the organism in Eukaryota, Viridiplantae, Streptophyta, Magnoliopsida, Asterales, Asteraceae. The record is from RefSeq and is a predicted model, not a curated record.